This 710-nucleotide ribosomal RNA is filed under the name uncultured bacterium. RNAcentral describes it as "bacterial SSU rRNA". It matches the Rfam family "Bacterial small subunit ribosomal RNA", at positions 94 to 823 of the family's 1533-position model. The record is from RNAcentral.
AGCGGCGGACGGGUGAGUUUCGCGUGGGUAACCUGCCCUGUACACACGGAUAACAUACCGAAAGGUAUGCUAAUACGAGAUAAUAUGCUUUUAUCGCAUGGUAGAAGUAUCAAAGCUCCGGCGGUACAGGAUGGACCCGCGUCUGAUUAGCUAGUUGGUAAGGUAACGGCUUACCAAGGCGACGAUCAGUAGCCGACCUGAGAGGGUGAUCGGCCACAUUGGAACUGAGACACGGUCCAAACUCCUACGGGAGGCAGCAGUGGGGAAUAUUGCACAAUGGGCGAAAGCCUGAUGCAGCAACGCCGCGUGAGCGAUGAAGGCCUUCGGGUCGUAGAGCUCUGUCCUCAAGGAAGAUAAUGACGGUACUUGAGGAGGAAGCCCCGGCUAACUACGUGCCAGCAGCCGCGGUAAUACGUAGGGGGCUAGCGUUAUCCGGAAUUACUGGGCGCAAAGGGUGCGUAGGUGGUUUCUUAAGUCAGAGGUGAAAGGCUACGGCUCAACCGUAGUAAGCCUUUGAAACUGGGAAACUUGAGUGCAGGAGAGGAGAGUGGAAUUCCUAGUGUAGCGGUGAAAUGCGUAGAUAUUAGGAGGAACACCAGUUGCGAAGGCGGCUCUCUGGACUGUAACUGACACUGAGGCACGAAAGCGUGGGGAGCAAACAGGAUUAGAUACCCUGGUAGUCCACGCCGUAAACGAUGAGUACUAGCUGU